GUUAUUUUUAGUCUUCUACCUAAGAAUUCUGUCUCUUAGGCUUUCUCUUCCCAGUUUUCCCAAAGUUGGGAAAAGCUGGGUUGAGAGGGCAAAAGGAAAAAGAAAAAAAA
This 110-nucleotide microRNA precursor is filed under the name Macaca mulatta (Rhesus monkey). RNAcentral's name for it is "microRNA mml-mir-320b precursor". Its record names the gene mml-mir-320b. The stretch from base 30 to 104 matches the Rfam family "mir-320 microRNA precursor family". The record is from miRBase by way of RNAcentral. Lineage: Eukaryota; Metazoa; Chordata; Mammalia; Primates; Cercopithecidae.